CUGAUGCGUUGUUGGGUAGGGGAGCGUUCUGUAAGCCUGUGAAGGUGGCCUGUGAGGGUUGCUGGAGGUAUCAGAAGUGCGAAUGCUGACAUAAGUAACGAUAAAGCGGGUGAAAAGCCCGCUCGCCGGAAGACCAAGGGUUCCUGUCCAACGUUAAUCGGGGCAGGGUGAGUCGACCCCUAAGGCGAGGCCGAAAGGCGUAGUCGAUGGGAAACGGGUUAAUAUUCCCGUACUUGGUGUUACUGCGAAGGGGGGACGGAGAAGGCUAUGUUGGCCGGGCGACGGUUGUCCCGGUUUAAGCGUGUAGGUGUGUGUUCCAGGUAAAUCCGGUUCACUUUAACACUGAGGCGUGACGACGAGGCACUACGGUGCUGAAGCAACAAAUGCCCUGCUUCCAGGAAAAGCCUCUAAGCAUCAGGUAACAUCAAAUCGUACCCCAAACCGACACAGGUGGUCAGGUAGAGAAUACCAAGGCGCUUGAGAGAACUCGGGUGAAGGAACUAGGCAAAAUGGUGCCGUAACUUCGGGAGAAGGCACGCUGACACGUAGGUGAAGUGAUUUACUCAUGGAGCUGAAGUCAGUCGAAGAUACCAGCUGGCUGCAACUGUUUAUUAAAAACACAGCACUGUGCAAACACGAAAGUGGACGUAUACGGUGUGACGCCUGCCCGGUGCCGGAAGGUUAAUUGAUGGGGUCAGCGCAAGCGAAGCUCCUGAUCGAAGCCCCGGUAAACGGCGGCCGUAACUAUAACGGUCCUAAGGUAGCGAAAUUCCUUGUCGGGUAAGUUCCGACCUGCACGAAUGGCGUAAUGAUGGCCAGGCUGUCUCCACCCGAGACUCAGUGAAAUUGAACUCGCUGUGAAGAUGCAGUGUACCCGCGGCAAGACGGAAAGACCCCGUGAACCUUUACUAUAGCUUGACACUGAACAUUGAGCCUUGAUGUGUAGGAUAGGUGGGAGGCUUUGAAGUGUGGACGCCAGUCUGCAUGGAGCCGACCUUGAAAUACCACCCUUUAAUGUUUGAUGUUCUAACGUGGACCCGUUA
RNAcentral lists this ribosomal RNA (1043 nucleotides) under Salmonella enterica subsp. enterica serovar Virchow. RNAcentral's name for it is "partial 23S ribosomal RNA". It matches the Rfam family "Bacterial large subunit ribosomal RNA", at positions 1213 to 2238 of the family's 2925-position model. Lineage: Bacteria; Pseudomonadati; Pseudomonadota; Gammaproteobacteria; Enterobacterales; Enterobacteriaceae. The record is from RNAcentral.